GACGAACGCUGGCGGCGUGCUUAACACAUGCAAGUCGAACGGAAAGGCCCUGCUUUUGUUGGGUGCUCGAGUGGCGAACGGGUGAGUAACACGUGAGUAACCUGCCCUUGACUUUGUGAUAACUUCAGGAAACUGGGGCUCAUACCGGAUAGGAGCUCCUGCUGCAUAGUGUGGGUUGGAAAGUUUCGGCGGUUGGGGCUGGACUCGCGGCUUAUCAGCUUGUUGGUGGGGUAGUGGCUUACCAAGGCUUUGACGGGUAGCCGGCCUGAGAGGGUGACCGGCCACAUUGGGACUGAGAGACGGCCCAGACGCCUACGGGAGGCAGCAGUGGGGAAUAUUGCACAAUGGGCGGAAGCCUGAUGCAGCAACGCCGCGUGCGGGAUGACGGCCUUCGGGUUGUAAACCGCUUUCGCAUGUGACGAAGCGUGAGUGACGGUAAUUGGUAAAGAAGCACCGGCUAACUACGUG
This 468-nucleotide ribosomal RNA is filed under the name uncultured bacterium. RNAcentral's name for it is "partial 16S ribosomal RNA". It matches the Rfam family "Bacterial small subunit ribosomal RNA", at positions 28 to 507 of the family's 1533-position model. The record is from RNAcentral.